RNAcentral lists this ribosomal RNA (446 nucleotides) under uncultured bacterium. Its description in RNAcentral is "bacterial SSU rRNA". It matches the Rfam family "Bacterial small subunit ribosomal RNA", at positions 26 to 507 of the family's 1533-position model. The record is from RNAcentral.
UCCGUGGCUCAAGAACGAACGCUGGCGGCAUGCCUAACACAUGCAAGUCGAACGAGACCUUCGGGUCUAGUGGCGCACGGGUGCGUAAUGCGUGGGAACCUGCCUUUAGGUUCGGAAUAACUCAGAGAAAUUUGAGCUAAUACCGGAUAAUGUCUUCGGACCAAAGAUUUAUCGCCUUUAGAUGGGCCCGCGUUGGAUUAGCUAGUUGGUGGGGUAAAGGCCUACCAAGGCGACGAUCCAUAGCUGGUCUGAGAGGAUGAUCAGCCACACUGGGACUGAGACACGGCCCAGACUCCUACGGGAGGCAGCAGUGGGGAAUAUUGGACAAUGGGCGAAAGCCUGAUCCAGCAAUGCCGCGUGAGUGAUGAAGGCCUUAGGGUUGUAAAGCUCUUUUACCCGAGAUGAUAAUGACAGUAUCGGGAGAAUAAGCUCCGGCUAACUCCGUG